UAGGGAAUAUUGGACAAUGGAGGCAACUCUGAUCCAGCCAUGCCGCGUGAAGGAAUAAGGCCCUAUGGGUUGUAAACUUCUUUUAGACGGGACAAAACCCCUUUACGUGUAAAGGGUUGAUGGUACUGUCAGAAUAAGCAUCGGCUAACUACGUGCCAGCAGCCGCGGUAAUACGUAGGUGUCGAGCGUUGUCCGGAUUUAUUGGGCGUAAAGAGCCCGCAGGCGGCUUGGUAAGUUCGAGGUGAAAUCUCCCGGCUCAACUGGGAGGGUGCCUCGAAAACUAUCAGGCUUGAGGCAGGGAGAGGGAUGUGGAAUUCCCGGUGUAGUGGUGAAAUGCGUAGAUAUCGGGAGGAACACCAGUGGCGAAGGCGGCAUCCUGGCCCUGUCCUGACGCUCAGGGGCGAAAGCGUGGGGAGCAAACC
This 422-nucleotide ribosomal RNA is filed under the name uncultured bacterium. RNAcentral describes it as "bacterial SSU rRNA". It matches the Rfam family "Bacterial small subunit ribosomal RNA", at positions 355 to 774 of the family's 1533-position model. The record is from RNAcentral.